CCUACGGGCGGCAGCAGUGAGGAAUAUUGGUCAAUGGGCGGGCGCCUGAACCAGCCAUGCCGCGUGAAGGCGAGUGCCCUACGGGCGUUAAACUUCUUUUGUGCGGGCGCAAUAAGGGCCACGUGUGGCACGAUGAGUGUACCGCACGAAUAAGCAUAGGCUAACUCCGUGCCAGCAGCCGCGGUAAUACGGGGUCUGCGAGCGUUAUCCGGAUUUAUUUGGUUUAAAGGGUGCGUAGGCGGCUCUUCAGGUCGGCGGUGAAAUACCGGGGCUCAACCCCGGCGCUGCCGUUGAAACCGGAGCGCUAGAAUUCCGAUGCCGUCGGAGGAAUGUGUGGUGUAGCGGUGAAAUGCAUAGAUAUCACACAGAACACCGAUUGCGAAGGCAUCUGACGAAUCGGAGAUUGACGCUGAUGCACGAAAGCGUGGGUAUCGAACAGGAUUAGAUACCCUAGUAGUC
This 459-nucleotide ribosomal RNA is filed under the name uncultured bacterium. Its description in RNAcentral is "partial 16S ribosomal RNA". It matches the Rfam family "Bacterial small subunit ribosomal RNA", at positions 338 to 795 of the family's 1533-position model. The record is from RNAcentral.